Molecule: ribosomal RNA, 239 nt
Filed under: Marylynnia puncticaudata
Lineage: Eukaryota; Metazoa; Nematoda; Chromadorea; Chromadorida; Cyatholaimidae
Description: partial small subunit ribosomal RNA
Rfam family: Eukaryotic small subunit ribosomal RNA
Source: RNAcentral
AGAGCUAAUACACGCAAUCAAGCUCCAAUCUACGAGCGGAGCGCAUUUAUUAGAACCGGGCUUGCCCGUGCGUUUGGUGAAUCUGAAUAACUCAGUUGAUCGCAGCACUGGCGACGUAUCUUUCAAGUGUCUGCCUUAUCAACUGUCGAUGGUAGUUUAUAUGACUACCAUGGUUGUAACGGGUAACGGAGAAUAAGGGUUCGACUCCGGAGAGGGAGCCUGAGAAACGGCUACCACAU